Pelobates cultripes (western spadefoot toad) is the source of this 550-nucleotide non-coding RNA. The record is from the annotation of a GenBank genome assembly. Lineage: Eukaryota; Metazoa; Chordata; Amphibia; Anura; Pelobatidae.
GAAAAAAAGAGAAUUAGUUCAGACAACUGUACAAAUUGUUUUUUUCUAAACUUAAACCUCAGUAUUCAGGUUUAAUUGCCGUGUUGGCACUUUGAGGGAAUUAAAGUUGGCAUGUGGUUUGCGGUUUGGGCACUCGGGCUCAAAAAGGUUCGCCAUCACUGCACUAACUCAACAUGUAGAUAUUAUGGUACCUACACUGUUACUUUAUUAACUUAUUAAUUUAUCUAGGGGCAAGAGAGUGGACAACAGCUGGAGUAGCCUGCACUUCUGUGGAUCGCCUCUUAGAUCUCAAGCUGCUUUUAGCUCAUCUUGUGCCAUUACAAAAAGUACUAGGACCAUUUGCAUGUCAGACUAACUCCACCCAAAAGGGCAGUCCAGAUCCGAAAUGCAGGCCAGUUAUCUCUGCAUGAGAGAUACCGCAACCCUAGACGAUCGUUUCCACCUUGUUAGGCAUUGUCAGUGAGGUGUAGCUGAUACCCCUCUAGGCACCGUAAGCAAGGGGUCCACAUCUGGAUUACCCUUUAAAUUUGGGGAGAGGUGCAAGAUAGAU